Parambassis ranga (Indian glassy fish) is the source of this 133-nucleotide small nucleolar RNA. Ensembl annotates it as small nucleolar RNA SNORA68. The record is from Ensembl. NCBI's taxonomy places the organism in Eukaryota, Metazoa, Chordata, Actinopteri, Ambassidae.
UUUGCACCCUAACCCAAAGGUCACUCCUGCUCUGUGGUGUGAUUUUUGUCUGGUGUGCAAACAGUAACCAGACCCUUGUCGCCUUUCUCUGAUGCUGCCGUGCCUUUGAAAGUGAAUUCAAGGUUCAACAUGU